AACAAUAUUGCAUGUCAUAUAUUUUCUCUCCUUAAAUACAAUACUAUACAAAGUACACUAAAAAUAACCUACACUUUUUUGGCAUAAUAUCAGAGGAUGGCAAUUAGUAUAAGCCUAUAGGCCUACCGUAUAUAAAAAACAAGGUCUCUGAUGUAUAAAAAAGGUGUUAGAGUUUAUUUAUUUUUCUUUUAAUAUAUUUACAUUAAUGGUAGUGUUUUGUAUUUAUUUGAUGCUAAAAAUAAAGAACAGGAGUUAAUUAUGAAGGAAAAAGAGGAGGAAAGAAUAUAUAAACACACACACACACACACACAGUAAUGAGUGACUAUGAGUGACUUAUGCUCGCUCGCUCGCUCUCUCUCUCUCUCUCUCUCUCUCUCUCUCUCUAAAAAUGUGAAAAAAAGAGAACAGUUUAAAUGGAAAAAUAUGCAUCUGUACUUUGCAAUACUACUAAAAACACAGAGAGAGAGAGAGAGAGAGAGAGAGAGAGAGAGAGAGAGAGAGAGAGAGAGAGAGAGACUGGAAACACCUCUUGGAAAACAAUGAAACUCAAUAAAAGAGACCUGAACACAUUUGAAACACUCCCAACACAACACAACACAGGGCUAACACACACACACACACACACACACACACACACACACACACACACACACACACACACACACACACACAA
Portunus trituberculatus (swimming crab) is the source of this 673-nucleotide long non-coding RNA. RefSeq lists it as uncharacterized. Lineage: Eukaryota; Metazoa; Arthropoda; Malacostraca; Decapoda; Portunidae. The record is from RefSeq and is a predicted model, not a curated record. The transcript has 2 exons.